Molecule: RNA transcript, 3040 nt
Organism: Salvia miltiorrhiza (redroot sage)
Lineage: Eukaryota; Viridiplantae; Streptophyta; Magnoliopsida; Lamiales; Lamiaceae
Gene name: probable myosin-binding protein 4
Exons: 4
Source: RefSeq, a predicted model, not a curated record
CGGUCAAUGGAAUUUGGAGGAGGACCCCAUUGUAAUUUUCCACCAUAAUGAUGAUCUCACAAUUUCUUUUUCAUGGCUGGUGAAAUGGCGAUCAUGAUUCAUAAUCAUCUGCGUACCUUCUUUCUCCUGCUUUUCUCUCUGCCUUCCAUCCGGUAAUGGUAGGGAGAAAAGCGUUCGUUGUAGGAUUCGAUUAGUUGCGAGUUUUUGGUGAUCCUGGAGGUCAUAUUGUUGCCAUGGCUGCUGGAAUUUCGUUUUCGAGGAAGAGGAAGAUCAAUGGAUUUAUGAGUGUCUUGUCAUCCGCUGCAUGUGAAUGGUUCUUGAUGUUCUUGCUAUUUGUCGAUGCAGCAUUUUGGUAUCUGCUCCUAAAAUUUGCUCGCUAUUGUGAACUGGAAACACCUUGUCUGUUAUGCUCGAGGCUUGAUCAUGGUUUGGGAAAAAAGAAACCUGCAUUAUGUUGGAGCUUAUUGUGCAGUGAGCACAGAGAAGAGAUAUCUUCACUAGUGUCUUGUUCUGUCCAUUGUAGAUUUGCUGAUGUUCAUAGCAUGUGUGAAGAGUGUCUCACAUCGAGUGCUAUGCAGAAAAAAUCGAGCUCCUCUGAAAACAUGAUUUGUUCCUGCUGCAGCAUCGCGGUGAGGGCUAAAUCUAAUGCUGAAAGAUUGGUAGAACUUGACCCCCUUGGUUUUGGGGUUUCUAGGGGUAACGUCAGGCUGCCUCUGCCUCGUACCCCAAGUUCGAGUCAUUUCAGUCGUAGAGAUAGCUUAAAAAGGCUUAGAGAUAAGUUCGCAGGGACAAUGGCAAAUCAACCAGCUCGGGGAAAUAGUGUUGGUGCUGAUACAAUGUCUACUGUAGCGUAUACAAAGCUGAAAUUGUCCUCUGAUUCUGAGUCUGAAUUUGCACAUUCAGAAGAUGAUGAUGAUGUGAACACUGAUUCUGGUGUUAACAACUUUGGCACCCUGGAGCAUGAUAUUGAACAAAGCAUGCACGAACCACCAUCUGAUAGCAGUGCUCUAAAGUGCCAGACGGGUCAAGGUUUUGAAGCGAAAUCUUUAGCUCUUGAUCCGCCUAGUAUGAUUAAAACAAGAGAGCACAAGGAUGGCGAUACUUUGUCAUCUGAUGCCAAUACAGAGCAUUUUGCGGAUCUUGAUCAGGAAGAAGAGUCUUAUUAUAAACGUAGUUCAUCUUUGACACGAAAGCUAAUUUCUUUAUGUGAUAGUUUCUCACCACGUGAUGGUGCUGUUGGGGCAUUAGCAGUGACAUCUGAAUCCAGUGUUCCUCACACGCCAGCCAUCUCUGUACCAUCUGAGGUUAUUUCUGUAUGCAGUGUUCCUCCAUUAUCCAAUGACACAACACCAGAAAAAGAAGACACUGGGGAAACCAGUGAGAAUGUAGAACCAUCUGAGGCCAGACAUGUAAGAGCUACUGUAGGGACUUAUUCGGAUGAAACUCGUUUGUCAGAGGAAAAUGAUACACAUCAUAGUGAUGCUUCAAUUCAUGCUGAUGAAACUCUACAACUAUCAUCUAGGAAUGCUUUUAAGCCAACAGAGACCCGUGGUUCUGCUAAAAUUGAAGAUGUAGCUGCAGUAUCUACUUCUGCUGUGGACAUAUUACCAGAAGAACCCAGUCAUAGAGCUCAUCAUAAACGAGGUGAAUUUAGGAUAGGAGAAUCUCCUUAUUCUCAGGUACUUCCAUUUGCAGCCUUAUCAGAGAAUAAGGACUCCUCAUAUAUAUCUGUGGAUGAAAUCACUGUGAGUGACAUUGAAGGUGAAAGUAUGGUUGAUCAGCUAAAACGACAGGUUGAGCAUGAUCACAACUGCCUGAAUUCUUUGUACAAGGAAUUGGAUGCAGAAAGAAAUGCUGCUGCUAUUGCAGCAGAAGAAGCAAUGGCUAUGAUUACAAGAUUGCAGGAGGAGAAGGCAGCAUUACGUAUGGAGGCAUUGCAUUACCUACGGAUGAUGGAGGAGCAAGCAGCAUAUGAUACGCAGGCACUGGAAAAAGCUAAUGAUCUUCUUGCUGAAAGGGAGAGGGAAUUGCAAGACUUGGAAUAUGAGUUAGAAUCUUAUAGAAAUAACUUCCUUGAUGAGCCAGAUGAAGAUGAUAGACAAGAGACCUCAGAUCUGGACAAUCAAACUACAGCCCAAACAGAAACAAGUCCUGGGGCUUCUAGCAACUCCAAAGCUGAUAAAAUCUUGAGACCACCCUAUGGCAACUGCAAACCUACUAGUGGCUCGGUAUCAAGCUUUGAGGAUGAAAAUAUAUACUCUGGCAAUGUUUGAAGAAGUUGGAGGAGCUCCAUCAAGCUCAUUUUAGUAGAAACUUAAAUGAAAUGCCUCAUGGCCCAUGUUCUAGAAAGAUUAAGUAGAGGUUGACAAUCUUGAAUUUAACUCACAAACAAGAAAAAUUUAGAUCAGGAGAAUGAAGAGAAUAGUUCUGUUGUGCAAAAAGUCAUUUCUAUAUCUAUUCAAAAACUGCACUCCCAACUCAUGACAGAGAAAAUUCACAUUGAACUCAAAAGGCGAUGACCAUCCAGCCAGAUUUUCAUCUGUCGAUAUCAAAUUAUUGCCUGAAAGUUCGCCACAUAAAUGACUGGAAGGGAUCUGCUUUGGCACUCAGAGAGCCAUCCACAUCAUCAGUCAUGAUCGAGGGGGAGGGGCCAAUAUGGAGAUGAUCAAGAUGUUUUGAUCGUAAGUGUCUUCCUACCUAUGGAUGUGAUUACGAGAAGCUCCAAAGGGAUCUACUCGAACCUCCACUUAAUCUUUUCCCAGAAGAUCAAGAAUCACGCUUGAGGAGUGGAACAUGUAUAAUCAAUGUAAUCUUCGAUUUUUUCUUUUAGUUGGAGAUUCGACUGCAGAGGUAUUCGUUCUCCUUUUAAAUUUGUUUACAUUUGCAGGUUGAUUCUAUAAGUUUGACAAUCUUGUAGUGCGUAGUUGAUCAUGUAAACUGUGGAUAUGAGUGUAUGAGCUGGUGGGCUCUUGCAAGGCUGUUAACGGCUUAGUGCAAGAUGCAGAUUGCUUAUCUAAUUAAGUAAUAUCAAGUCUUUCGU